This 652-nucleotide ribosomal RNA is filed under the name Shewanella sp. CHC2. RNAcentral describes it as "bacterial SSU rRNA". It matches the Rfam family "Bacterial small subunit ribosomal RNA", at positions 24 to 655 of the family's 1533-position model. The record is from RNAcentral. Lineage: Bacteria; Pseudomonadati; Pseudomonadota; Gammaproteobacteria; Alteromonadales; Shewanellaceae.
UUACNGAACNCCGGCGGCAGGUCNCAACACNNGCNAGUNCGAGCGGUAACAUUUCUAGCUUGCUAGAAGAUGACAGAGCGGCGGAACGGGUGAGUAAUGCUUGGGGAUCUGCCCAGUACGAGGGGGAUAACAGUUGGAAACGACUGCUAAUACCGCAUACGCCCUACGGGGGAAAGCAGGGGACUUUUUAAGCCUUGCGCGAUUGGAUGAACCCAAGUNGGAUUAGCUAGUAGGUAAGGUAAAGGCUUACCUAGGCGACGAUCCCUAGCUGGUCUGAGAGGAUGAUCAGCCACACUGGAACUGAGACACGGUCCAGACUCCUACGGGAGGCAGCAGUGGGGAAUAUUGCACAAUGGGGGGAACCCUGAUGCAGCCAUGCCGCGUGUGUGAAGAAGGCCUUCGGGUUGUAAAGCACUUUCAGCGAGGAGGAAAGGGUGAUGGUUAAUACCCAUCAUCUGUGACGUUACUCGCAGAAGAAGCACCGGCUAACUUCGNGCCAGCAGCCGCGGUAAUACGAGGGGUGGCAAAGCGUUAAUCGGGAAUUACUUGGGCGUAAAAGCGUACGCAGGCGGUUUGUUAANCAAGAUGUUAAAAAGCCCCGGGGNUCACCUGGGGAACAGCAUUUUGAACUGGCAAACUAAGAGUCUUUGUA